This 238-nucleotide ribosomal RNA is filed under the name uncultured bacterium. Its description in RNAcentral is "partial 16S ribosomal RNA". It matches the Rfam family "Bacterial small subunit ribosomal RNA", at positions 539 to 776 of the family's 1533-position model. The record is from RNAcentral.
CGUUGUCCGGAAUUAUUGGGCGUAAAGAGCUCGUAGGCGGUUUGUUGCGUCUAUCGUGAAAACCUGCAGCUUAACUGUGGGCUUGCGGUGGAUACGGGCAGACUUGAGUUCGGUAGGGGAGACUGGAAUUCCUGGUGUAGCGGUGAAAUGCGCAGAUAUCAGGAGGAACACCGAUGGCGAAGGCAGGUCUCUGGGCCAUAACUGACGCUGAGAAGCGAAAGCAUGGGGAGCGAACAGG